RNAcentral lists this ribosomal RNA (2898 nucleotides) under Escherichia coli B94. RNAcentral's name for it is "bacterial LSU rRNA". It matches the Rfam family "Bacterial large subunit ribosomal RNA". Lineage: Bacteria; Pseudomonadati; Pseudomonadota; Gammaproteobacteria; Enterobacterales; Enterobacteriaceae. The record is from RNAcentral.
UAAGCGACUAAGCGUACACGGUGGAUGCCCUGGCAGUCAGAGGCGAUGAAGGACGUGCUAAUCUGCGAUAAGCGUCGGUAAGGUGAUAUGAACCGUUAUAACCGGCGAUUUCCGAAUGGGGAAACCCAGUGUGAUUCGUCACACUAUCAUUAACUGAAUCCAUAGGUUAAUGAGGCGAACCGGGGGAACUGAAACAUCUAAGUACCCCGAGGAAAAGAAAUCAACCGAGAUUCCCCCAGUAGCGGCGAGCGAACGGGGAGGAGCCCAGAGCCUGAAUCAGUGUGUGUGUUAGUGGAAGCGUCUGGAAAGGCGCGCGAUACAGGGUGACAGCCCCGUACACAAAAAUGCACAUGCUGUGAGCUCGAUGAGUAGGGCGGGACACGUGGUAUCCUGUCUGAAUAUGGGGGACCAUCCUCCAAGGCUAAAUACUCCUGACUGACCGAUAGUGAACCAGUACCGUGAGGGAAAGGCGAAAAGACCCCGGCGAGGGGAGUGAAAAAGACCUGAAACCGUGUACGUACAAGCAGUGGGAGCACAGAGCAAUCUGUGUGACUGCGUACCUUUUGUAUAAUGGGUCAGCGACUUAUAUUCUGUAGCAAGGUUAACCGAAUAGGGGAGCCGAAGGGAAACCGAGUCUUAACCGGGCGUUAAGUUGCAGGGUAUAGACCCGAAACCCGGUGAUCUAGCCAUGGGCAGGUUGAAGGUUGGGUAACACUAACUGGAGGACCGAACCGACUAAUGUUGAAAAAUUAGCGGAUGACUUGUGGCUGGGGGUGAAAGGCCAAUCAAACCGGGAGAUAGCUGGUUCUCCCCGAAAGCUAUUUAGGUAGCGCCUCGUGAAUUCAUCUCCGGGGGUAGAGCACUGUUUCGGCAAGGGGGUCAUCCCGACUUACCAACCCGAUGCAAACUGCGAAUACCGGAGAAUGUUAUCACGGGAGACACACGGCGGGUGCUAACGUCCGUCGUGAAGAGGGAAACAACCCAGACCGCCAGCUAAGGUCCCAAAGUCAUGGUUAAGUGGGAAACGAUGUGGGAAGGCCCAGACAGCCAGGAUGUUGGCUUAGAAGCAGCCAUCAUUUAAAGAAAGCGUAAUAGCUCACUGGUCGAGUCGGCCUGCGCGGAAGAUGUAACGGGGCUAAACCAUGCACCGAAGCUGCGGCAGCGACACUGUGUGUUGUUGGGUAGGGGAGCGUUCUGUAAGCCUGUGAAGGUGUACUGUGAGGUAUGCUGGAGGUAUCAGAAGUGCGAAUGCUGACAUAAGUAACGAUAAAGCGGGUGAAAAGCCCGCUCGCCGGAAGACCAAGGGUUCCUGUCCAACGUUAAUCGGGGCAGGGUGAGUCGACCCCUAAGGCGAGGCCGAAAGGCGUAGUCGAUGGGAAACAGGUUAAUAUUCCUGUACUUGGUGUUACUGCGAAGGGGGGACGGAGAAGGCUAUGUUGGCCGGGCGACGGUUGUCCCGGUUUAAGCGUGUAGGCUGGUUUUCCAGGCAAAUCCGGAAAAUCAAGGCUGAGGCGUGAUGACGAGGCACUACGGUGCUGAAGCAACAAAUGCCCUGCUUCCAGGAAAAGCCUCUAAGCAUCAGGUAACAUCAAAUCGUACCCCAAACCGACACAGGUGGUCAGGUAGAGAAUACCAAGGCGCUUGAGAGAGCUCGGGUGAAGGAACUAGGCAAAAUGGUGCCGUAACUUCGGGAGAAGGCACGCUGAUAUGUAGGUGAAGUCCCUCGCGGAUGGAGCUGAAAUCAGUCGAAGAUACCAGCUGGCUGCAACUGUUUAUUAAAAACACAGCACUGUGCAAACACGAAAGUGGACGUAUACGGUGUGACGCCUGCCCGGUGCCGGAAGGUUAAUUGAUGGGGUCAGCGCAAGCGAAGCUCUUGAUCGAAGCCCCGGUAAACGGCGGCCGUAACUAUAACGGUCCUAAGGUAGCGAAAUUCCUUGUCGGGUAAGUUCCGACCUGCACGAAUGGCGUAAUGAUGGCCAGGCUGUCUCCACCCGAGACUCAGUGAAAUUGAACUCGCUGUGAAGAUGCAGUGUACCCGCGGCAAGACGGAAAGACCCCGUGAACCUUUACUAUAGCUUGACACUGAACAUUGAGCCUUGAUGUAUAGGAUAGGUGGGAGGCUUUGAAGUGUGGACGCCAGUCUGCAUGGAGCCGACCUUGAAAUACCACCCUUUAAUGUUUGAUGUUCUAACGUGGACCCGUGAUCCGGGUUGCGGACAGUGUCUGGUGGGUAGUUUGACUGGGGCGGUCUCCUCCUAAAGAGUAACGGAGGAGCACGAAGGUUGGCUAAUCCUGGUCGGACAUCAGGAGGUUAGUGCAAUGGCAUAAGCCAGCUUGACUGCGAGCGUGACGGCGCGAGCAGGUGCGAAAGCAGGUCAUAGUGAUCCGGUGGUUCUGAAUGGAAGGGCCAUCGCUCAACGGAUAAAAGGUACUCCGGGGAUAACAGGCUGAUACCGCCCAAGAGUUCAUAUCGACGGCGGUGUUUGGCACCUCGAUGUCGGCUCAUCACAUCCUGGGGCUGAAGUAGGUCCCAAGGGUAUGGCUGUUCGCCAUUUAAAGUGGUACGCGAGCUGGGUUUAGAACGUCGUGAGACAGUUCGGUCCCUAUCUGCCGUGGGCGCUGGAGAACUGAGGGGGGCUGCUCCUAGUACGAGAGGACCGGAGUGGACGCAUCACUGGUGUUCGGGUUGUCAUGCCAAUGGCACUGCCCGGUAGCUAAAUGCGGAAGAGAUAAGUGCUGAAAGCAUCUAAGCACGAAACUUGCCCCGAGAUGAGUUCUCCCUGACCCUUUAAGGGUCCUGAAGGAACGUUGAAGACGACGACGUUGAUAGGCCGGGUGUGUAAGCGCAGCGAUGCGUUGAGCUAACCGGUACUAAUGAACCGUGAGGCUUAACCU